CGGAGGACGACUCGGUCAGGUCUUUCCCCUAUCAGUUUUCGUAGGAAAUGUAUUGAAUUUUCUAGACUUUGACGGGUAGCGGAAAAUAAGGGUUUGAUUCCGGAGAAGGAGCCUGAGAGACGGCUACUACAUCUAAGGAAGGCAGCAGGCGCGCAAAUUUCCCAAUGCUCAUCGAGCGAGGAAGUGACGACCAAUAACAAUGUGCGAUUCUUUAUGGAUUGUGCAAUUGGAAUGACAACAAUGUAAAGUGUUUAAGGAGGAUCAAUUGGAGGGCAAGUCUGGUGCCAGCAGCCGCGGUAAUUCCAGCUCCAAUAGGAUAUAUCAAAAUUGUUGCAGUUAAAAAGCUCGUAGUUGAAUGUCUGUUGUGUUUUCGUUUGUUUCUUUGAUAUUGAAAGAUGUGAAAGAGACAAAGGCACAGCAUCUUGUGGAAUACUAUUUUGUUUGUGUGGUUUACUCUAUAUAAAUAAAAUACCACUCCGUCACUGAGAGCAAAUUGGAGUGCUCAAAGCAGGCUUUAUAGCUUUGAACAUUUUAGCUUGGAAUGACAAGAUAAGACUUUGGUUUUAUUUUGUUGGUUAUGAAACAAAAGUAAUGAUUAACAGAAACAGGCGGGGGUAUCCGUAUUGAAAGGUCAGAGGUGAAAUUCUUGGAUUCUUUCAAGACGAACGACUGCGAAAGCAUUUACCAAGGAUGUUUUCAUUAAUCAAGAACGAAAGCUCGGGGAUCGAAGAUGAUUAGAUACCAUCGUAGUCCGACGCCAUAAACGAUGCCGACUCGGGAUUAUUUUGUCUUCGUAAUUCAAAAAGAAACAAAAUAGCACCGUAUGAGAAAUCAAAGUCUUUGGGUUCCGGGGGGAGUAUGGUCGCAAGGCUGAAACUUAAAGGAAUUGACGGAAAGACACACAAGAGGUGGAGCCUGCGGUUUAAUUUGACCCAACACGGGGAAACUUACCAGGUCCAGACAUAAUGAGGAUUGACAGUUUGAAAGCACUUUCUUGAUCUUAUGGGUGGUGGUGCAUGGCCGUUCUUAGUUGGUGGAGUGAUUUGUCUGGUUGAUUCCGAUAACGAACGAGACGGGGAAAGCUAACUAGUUUUCGUGAAUAACUUGCGUUAUUCCAAACUUCUUUGCUUGACAACUUGGUUUUACCAAGAGGAAGCGCCCCGCAAUAACAGGUCUGUGAUGCCCUUAGAUGUUCUGGGCAACACGCGCGCUACAAUGGUGA
RNAcentral lists this ribosomal RNA (1222 nucleotides) under metagenome. RNAcentral describes it as "SSU rRNA". It matches the Rfam family "Eukaryotic small subunit ribosomal RNA", at positions 284 to 1509 of the family's 1831-position model. The record is from RNAcentral.